GACGGGCCUUCCCGCAUGGUAAAGCGGCCAACCGGGUCAGGUGGGGAACCAAGCAGCCCUAACUGUGGAGCCAGAGGCAGCAUCAAGGCUCAUCAAC
This 97-nucleotide signal recognition particle RNA is filed under the name Rhodoferax sp. RNAcentral describes it as "signal recognition particle sRNA small type". It matches the Rfam family "Bacterial small signal recognition particle RNA". Rfam says of the family: The signal recognition particle (SRP) is a universally conserved ribonucleoprotein involved in the co-translational targeting of proteins to membranes. Archaeal SRP consists of a 7S RNA and homologues of the eukaryotic SRP19 and SRP54 proteins. In most bacteria, the SRP consists of a 4.5S RNA and the Ffh protein (a homologue of the eukaryotic SRP54 protein). The record is from RNAcentral. Lineage: Bacteria; Pseudomonadati; Pseudomonadota; Betaproteobacteria; Burkholderiales; Comamonadaceae.